RNAcentral lists this ribosomal RNA (253 nucleotides) under uncultured bacterium. Its description in RNAcentral is "partial 16S ribosomal RNA". It matches the Rfam family "Bacterial small subunit ribosomal RNA", at positions 524 to 776 of the family's 1533-position model. The record is from RNAcentral.
GACAGAGGUGCCAAGCGUUAGGCGGAAUCACUGGGCUUAAAGCGUGUGUAGGCGGGUGCCUAAGUAACUUGUGAAAUCCCACGGCUCAACCGUGGAACGGCUGGGUAUACUGGGUGCCUUGGGUCAUCCAGGGGCUGCCGGAACAAAUGGUGGAGCGGUGAAAUGCGUAGAUAUCAGGAGGAACACCGGUGGCGAAGGCGGGUCUCUGGGCCGGUACCGACGCUGAGGAGCGAAAGCGUGGGGAGCGAACAGG